AGCAGUGAGGAAUAUUGGACAAUGGAUGGAAAUCUGAUCCAGCCAUGCCGCGUGCAGGAAGAAGGUCCUAUGGAUUGUAAACUGCUUUAGUGCGGGAGCAAUAAGGUCCACGAGUGGACCGAUGAGAGUACCGCAAGAAUAAGCAUCGGCUAACUCCGUGCCAGCAGCCGCGGUAAUACGGGGGAUGCAAGCGUUAUCCGGAUUUAUUGGGUUUAAAGGGUGCGUAGGCGGUCUGUCAAGUCGGCGGUGAAAACAGCAUGCUAAACAUGGUGCUUGCCGUCGAGACUGGUGGGCUUGAAUGUGGAUGAUGCCGGCGGAAUGUGUAAAGUAGCGGUGAAAUGCAUAGAUAUUACACAGAAGGUCGAUUGCGAAAGCAGCUGGCAAAGGCACUAUUGACGCUGAGGCACGAAAGUGCGGGGAUCGAACAGGAUUAGAUACCCUGGUAGUCCGCACAGUAAACGAUGAUAACUAACUGUCGGCGAUACACAGUCGGUGGCAAAGCGAAAGCGAUAAGUAUCCGC
Molecule: ribosomal RNA, 521 nt
Filed under: uncultured Bacteroidota bacterium
Lineage: Bacteria; Pseudomonadati; Bacteroidota
Description: bacterial SSU rRNA
Rfam family: Bacterial small subunit ribosomal RNA
Source: RNAcentral